CCACCCCUCGACGCCCGCCGGAGCGUCCGCCGGGAGCCCGCGUUUCCUAGCGGGAGACACCGCGCUCCGGCGGAAACGUCGAGUUAGCUCCUCCGGGCUGUGCUGUGUGAAAACGCCGUGUUUUCCUAACACCACACACGGGAGGGCGGGAGGGGGUGUGCAUAUAGGACCCCUCAAGUAAUGCUAGUUUGGACCUAAUGUAAGUCACUGCAAAAGCAUAAAAUCAAGUGCUCUCUCGCCCUCUCUUAGGGGUAAUAAGGCACUGAGAUCGCUGCCUUCAGGCAGAGAAAGGCGGUAUGCAUUAGGGUUCGAGGCGCACCUGCAGGUGGCUCAACGUGCACGGAGAGAGUUUACCGACGCGAGCACGGCAAAGCAACGAUCAUAAACUGCACUGGUUUCUCGCAGUUCUUUUACAGGAACGUCACGAUUUUGACAUUUAUUUGACAGAAGCAGCAUUAUAUGGAGAAAAUAUAAGAAAUGACGCACACCAAGACCAUCUUAUGCCACACUCCUGCCCUAACCCUCGACAUCCAUGGGUACUUCUCAAAAGUUAUUUGUACCUGUUGCCUCAGACUUGAACAUAUGUUGUGGUUUUAAGGCAGACAUCAGUAGGUGGGAACAGGACUCAGUGAAGCAUGACUUGCAAGGGAACAUAUCAGGCCUAAUGACAGCGGGACAAAACGGGUAAGACUGUUCAAGUUCUUCAGUUUUAGAAGGCCUGACAGACCGCAGGACUCAAGUGCCCUGCUACUUGUCUGCUUUCUGUACUUACAUCAGGUGGCUUACCGAAAGUUCUUACCCACAGCUGUGCCUUGCUGUAUCAUUAAAUCUAGACUACCACAAGAUGUUCCAUUGCUCAACAGGCACUGCCCUCCCACCGCUGCUGUUUGCCAGACUUAAACAGAAGUUUGUGACAUAUUGAUUCCUCUGGUUUACUCUCCUAAGUUUAGGAAGGCCUCACUCAAAUGUUAAUUUGGAAAAAUAAAUAAAGGCAAAAGUUUCAAGGGCAAAAAAAUUCAAAAUAAAAAUCCACGUUUCAGAUUACUGAAUCUAGUUCAUGAACUUGACAAAGCAGCUGGGAUUUACCAAGCUUCUCCUAACAUGAAAUGUGACACCAUCCUCUUUUGCCUUGUAUGUUCACUUAAAUUAGUCCGUAAUAAUCUCUAAUAUCCAUUUUUACACAGUUGAUGACUGUAGAUUAUUAUUUCUAUCUACAACCAGAGUGCAUAAACUCAAUUCUGCCAAAUAAGACCUGGCUAAAAAGCACCAGUGGAGCUGACAGUAGCAGGGCUUGAUCAGUUUCAGGUCCCACUGUGUCCUCUCUGCAGGCCAGAGGCAUGUUUGGUAAUUACAGAUUUGCUAAAAGACUGUCUGUCACUCUCUGGUGCACCCAGAUCUUUGCCCACUCAAAGGAACAGCAUUGUCAUGAGGAAGAGGUGACUCUGAUAUGCAUUAUUUAAUUCUUAUUUAUGAAUACAGAAUAAAGUUUUUAGUUCCCAUGUUCGAACCUUUCUUUGCUUGCACAUAGAAAGAAAAUGUUAGAGCUUGCAAAUAGAACUGUCAACAUUUUUAACAGGAAUGCAUAUUAUGAAGUCAGAGGAGAUAUUUGUUCUUAUGCCAACAACAUUAAAAAAUUAAAUAUAUAGGCCAUACUCUUCGUGACCCCGGUAAGCUGUAAACUAUGAUUAUCUCCCUCCCUGGUAAAGGUUUUUUCUCAGUCCCUGCUAAAAUAUCACAACAUCAUGACAAAUUUCUUUAAAAGAAAGACCCUAAGUAGAUACUCAGAGCUUUGUAAUAUGCUGUUAGGUUUUGACUGUAAUUGGAAGACUGUUUCUUCUGCAGCUAUUUCCUGAAACUGAUUUCACAAAGAAAUCCUACAUUAGGAUUUUCCUGUUUGGGGUGUUUUCUUACACAUUUUUAUUCCACUACCAAAGUAGCAUUCAUAGAUUUAACUCAACACUAAAACAUGAAAUAAGAUUGAAAAUACCCUAGAGUUAAGAAAACUGUAUUCAGCUACAUCCAGUUCUGGUAUAGCAGAUAAUACUUAUGUAUACAAGAAACAAUUUCUUUUCCUUUUAAAAUAAGUCCUUGUACAUUUUUACAGCAAAUUCCUUGUCUUUCUAAUAUGGCAGUAAAAAACUAAACCACUACUGACUUCUGAUACAAGCACUUCAGAGGUGAAGAAGUAAAGUACCUUCUGUGACUAACAUAAAGUGUUCUGAACUGACAACUAAGUGAACAGUAUGACUUUAAAAAUAUGGUACUUUACAUCUAACUUGUAUAGUCCUUUAGGCAGCCCAAGUGUGUGACAGUGCAUGUGCUUGAUUCUUCCAAGGUUUGGGGGCUUUUUAAAAUACUCAUCAUAGAAACUUUGUUCCAGUAUCACAGGUACAAAAGGCAAACUAAUACAAUGAAUUCACCUUAAUCUGCUGAACAGAAACGGUUCCUUUGUGAGAAGAACAAACCACUUGCGAUAAAGUAUGGAGUACUGAUACUGAGAGCAAACUAUGGCAAUGUAAACAUUAGCAUUAGCUGUUCUGCCAUUUCUUCUCAAACAUCUAGCAAAUGUAUUGGUCCACUGAUGCUGAAAGUAGGAAUAGGUUCUCAUUUAGUCGUUUCCACAUGACAGAUGUACUGCCUGUACUCCAGAGGGGCAAGAAAGGAGCAGUUACAUCAUCUCUCUGGAACCAGACUAUCAAACUACUACCUACUUUAUUUUAUGCUCUCUGUAAUUCCUAGACACCAUUUCUUCAAGCCAUUUUCAGCAAUGCAAAAAUCUGUGACAUACUGGCAUUUAAGGACAAAUAUAAUGCAAAACUAAUCUGAAUUAAUUUAUAAGUAAAUAACAAUGGUCAAUCUAAAAUCUUUGAAGCUCUCUGAAAUAGUUACCCCAGUUUUAAAGCUUAAAGCUCAUCUCCACAUUCCAGUAAAGCAGUAUUCUCUAACUGAAAGGCUGUAAGAAGAGCCUCAGUUGGCAUCUGACCUGAAAACAAAAUCCUAAUUCCAGCAACCCUGCACAUUAACUCAGUGCAACACUCGUGUUUUUCCACAGGAAUAUCACUUUUUUCAGUUCUGGAAAUAAUUUACAUAUAAACUUUGAACU
Molecule: long non-coding RNA, 3103 nt
Organism: Myiozetetes cayanensis
Lineage: Eukaryota; Metazoa; Chordata; Aves; Passeriformes; Tyrannidae
Exons: 3
Source: RefSeq, a predicted model, not a curated record